This 2981-nucleotide ribosomal RNA is filed under the name Salmonella enterica subsp. enterica serovar Typhimurium str. DT104. Its description in RNAcentral is "bacterial LSU rRNA". It matches the Rfam family "Bacterial large subunit ribosomal RNA". Lineage: Bacteria; Pseudomonadati; Pseudomonadota; Gammaproteobacteria; Enterobacterales; Enterobacteriaceae. The record is from RNAcentral.
UUAAGCGACUAAGCGUACACGGUGGAUGCCCUGGCAGUCAGAGGCGAUGAAGGGCGUGCUAAUCUGCGAUAAGCGCCGGUAAGGUGAUAUGAACCGUUAUAACCGGCGAUACCCGAAUGGGGAAACCCAGUGUGAUUCGUCACACUAUCAUUAACUGAAUCCAUAGGUUAAUGAGGCGAACCGGGGGAACUGAAACAUCUAAGUACCCCGAGGAAAAGAAAUCAACCGAGAUUCCCCCAGUAGCGGCGAGCGAACGGGGAGGAGCCCAGAGCCUGAAUCAGCAUGUGUGUUAGUGGAAGCGUCUGGAAAGGCGCGCGAUACAGGGUGACAGCCCCGUACACAAAAGCGCAUGUGCUGUGAGCUCGAUGAGUAGGGCGGGACACGUGGUAUCCUGUCUGAAUAUGGGGGGACCAUCCUCCAAGGCUAAAUACUCCUGACUGACCGAUAGUGAACCAGUACCGUGAGGGAAAGGCGAAAAGAACCCCGGCGAGGGGAGUGAAAAAGAACCUGAAACCGUGUACGUACAAGCAGUGGGAGCACNGUGUGACUGCGUACCUUUUGUAUAAUGGGUCAGCGACUUAUAUUCUGUAGCAAGGUUAACCGUAUAGGGGAGCCGGAGGGAAACCGAGUCUUAACCGGGCGUUAAGUUGCAGGGUAUAGACCCGAAACCCGGUGAUCUAGCCAUGGGCAGGUUGAAGGUUGGGUAACACUAACUGGAGGACCGAACCGACUAAUGUUGAAAAAUUAGCGGAUGACCUGUGGCUGGGGGUGAAAGGCCAAUCAAACCGGGAGAUAGCUGGUUCUCCCCGAAAGCUAUUUAGGUAGCGCCUCGUGAAUUCAUCUCCGGGGGUAGAGCACUGUUUCGGCUAGGGGGCCAUCCCGGCUUACCAACCCGAUGCAAACUGCGAAUACCGGAGAAUGUUAUCACGGGAGACACACGGCGGGUGCUAACGUCCGUCGUGAAGAGGGAAACAACCCAGACCGCCAGCUAAGGUCCCAAAGUCAUGGUUAAGUGGGAAACGAUGUGGGAAGGCCCAGACAGCCAGGAUGUUGGCUUAGAAGCAGCCAUCAUUUAAAGAAAGCGUAAUAGCUCACUGGUCGAGUCGGCCUGCGCGGAAGAUGUAACGGGGCUAAACCAUGCACCGAAGCUGCGGCAGCGAACGUAUCACCCAAGACAACUUUACGGAGUUGACGAUUGACGGAGCGAAGCGACGUCAAAGCGUUCAUUAAAGUCGAGUUGGCUUAGGGAUACGUUCGUUGGGUAGGGGAGCGUUCUGUAAGCCUGUGAAGGUGUGUCGUGAGGCAUGCUGGAGGUAUCAGAAGUGCGAAUGCUGACAUAAGUAACGAUAAAGCGGGUGAAAAGCCCGCUCGCCGGAAGACCAAGGGUUCCUGUCCAACGUUAAUCGGGGCAGGGUGAGUCGACCCCUAAGGCGAGGCCGAAAGGCGUAGUCGAUGGGAAACGGGUUAAUAUUCCCGUACUUGGUGUUACUGCGAAGGGGGGACGGAGAAGGCUAUGUUGGCCGGGCGACGGUUGUCCCGGUUUAAGCGUGUAGGUGUGUGUUCCAGGUAAAUCCGGUUCACUUUAACACUGAGGCGUGACGACGAGGCACUACGGUGCUGAAGCAACAAAUGCCCUGCUUCCAGGAAAAGCCUCUAAGCAUCAGGUAACACGAAAUCGUACCCCAAACCGACACAGGUGGUCAGGUAGAGAAUACCAAGGCGCUUGAGAGAACUCGGGUGAAGGAACUAGGCAAAAUGGUGCCGUAACUUCGGGAGAAGGCACGCUGACACGUAGGUGAAGUGAUUUACUCAUGGAGCUGAAGUCAGUCGAAGAUACCAGCUGGCUGCAACUGUUUAUUAAAAACACAGCACUGUGCAAACACGAAAGUGGACGUAUACGGUGUGACGCCUGCCCGGUGCCGGAAGGUUAAUUGAUGGGGUCAGCGUAAGCGAAGCUCCUGAUCGAAGCCCCGGUAAACGGCGGCCGUAACUAUAACGGUCCUAAGGUAGCGAAAUUCCUUGUCGGGUAAGUUCCGACCUGCACGAAUGGCGUAAUGAUGGCCAGGCUGUCUCCACCCGAGACUCAGUGAAAUUGAACUCGCUGUGAAGAUGCAGUGUACCCGCGGCAAGACGGAAAGACCCCGUGAACCUUUACUAUAGCUUGACACUGAACAUUGAGCCUUGAUGUGUAGGAUAGGUGGGAGGCUUUGAAGUGUGGACGCCAGUCUGCAUGGAGCCGACCUUGAAAUACCACCCUUUAAUGUUUGAUGUUCUAACGUGGACCCGUAAUCCGGGUUGCGGACAGUGUCUGGUGGGUAGUUUGACUGGGGCGGUCUCCUCCUAAAGAGUAACGGAGGAGCACGAAGGUUGGCUAAUCCUGGUCGGACAUCAGGAGGUUAGUGCAAUGGCAUAAGCCAGCUUGACUGCGAGCGUGACGGCGCGAGCAGGUGCGAAAGCAGGUCAUAGUGAUCCGGUGGUUCUGAAUGGAAGGGCCAUCGCUCAACGGAUAAAAGGUACUCCGGGGAUAACAGGCUGAUACCGCCCAAGAGUUCAUAUCGACGGCGGUGUUUGGCACCUCGAUGUCGGCUCAUCACAUCCUGGGGCUGAAGUAGGUCCCAAGGGUAUGGCUGUUCGCCAUUUAAAGUGGUACGCGAGCUGGGUUUAGAACGUCGUGAGACAGUUCGGUCCCUAUCUGCCGUGGGCGCUGGAGAACUGAGGGGGGCUGCUCCUAGUACGAGAGGACCGGAGUGGACGCAUCACUGGUGUUCGGGUUGUCAUGCCAAUGGCACUGCCCGGUAGCUAAAUGCGGAAGAGAUAAGUGCUGAAAGCAUCUAAGCACGAAACUUGCCCCGAGAUGAGUUCUCCCUGAGACUUAGAGUCUCCUGAAGGAACGUUGAAGACGACGACGUUGAUAGGCCGGGUGUGUAAGCGCAGCGAUGCGUUGAGCUAACCGGUACUAAUGAACCGUGAGGCUUAACCUU